RNAcentral lists this transfer RNA (72 nucleotides) under Camelus bactrianus (Bactrian camel). It matches the Rfam family "tRNA". Rfam says of the family: Transfer RNA (tRNA) molecules are approximately 80 nucleotides in length. RNAcentral also lists the same sequence under 2 other names. The record is from Rfam by way of RNAcentral. Lineage: Eukaryota; Metazoa; Chordata; Mammalia; Artiodactyla; Camelidae.
GGCCAUAUAGCUCAGUGGUAGGGCAUGUGCUUAGCGUGCACCAGGUCCUGGGUUCAAUCCUCAGUUCCUCCG